CAUCGAGGCAUGUGAGUGGCUGAGAAAUGGAGUUGGGACUCAGGGGAGCAAUGGAGCAAUGGGUCACAACCUUCCUGAGCGGCCCUUGCAAGCUCCUGCUCCCCUCGCCUGCAAGUGGAGCAAUGCUCAAGCUUGAGGAAUCUUUUCCUUGGCAGGUGGAAGACAUGGCACAGCUGCAGGUUUUGUGUCCUUCGUUGUCAUUGGAAAGCAGCCUCCUUGAGAGUAGGAGAGCAGCAGGCUGCCUGCUGUGUGGCUGCUGAAGGGCAUUUCUCCCAGCUGAGAUCCCCGAGCCCACGCUGGCGGAGAACGUGCUGUGCCACCAUCUCUUCUGUGGAGCCACUUGGCAGCUGCUCUGCGUGAGCUGCAGUCGUGCCAGUUUCCAGGUGCCAUAAGCCAGACUGGCACAGUCUUGGGACUCGGUCUGGCGAGACAGUGAAGAAAGCCAAGGCAAGUGCUGCUCGGCUGCAGAAGAAAGCCCAGAAGGAGAGCAAAAAGAACUGAGAAGGGCUUGAGCGAGAAGGCCCACAGGACGCUCGAAUCAGCUGGAAUGCUUCCUCGGAGGUGGCACCAAAGGCAGCGGACUGAGUCACCUGGUUUUCUGGCAUGGCCGUGCUUUCCCUGUCACGGACAGUGCAGCGGAACUGAGGCACCUGGAAGGGAAGGGCUUGUGCUGCAUUCCAAGCAAAGAGGGCUUGCCAGAGGCAGGUCUUCAUCUAUGGCAAGAGAUGGAGAGGCUGUGUUCCUUCUGGCUGCGUCUCUUCAGGGCCAGGGCCGGUCUAGUAUGAGAUUGAAGUACGGCUAGCUGGGCCUGGAGGGAGAGGACCUGACGUGGCCACAGGGUCAGGCUUCUCCUCGUGUCUGCCUGGAGGCUGAAUUACUCAUUGCUAAGCAGAAACCCUGAACGCUGGGGUUUCAUUCUGGGCUGUGUUGAUAAAUACAACCCAGAGCCUUUUGUAUUGAAUAAAAGCGAAACCAACUUUUUAAA
Tympanuchus pallidicinctus (lesser prairie-chicken) is the source of this 985-nucleotide long non-coding RNA. RefSeq lists it as uncharacterized. The record is from RefSeq and is a predicted model, not a curated record. The transcript is spliced from 4 exons. NCBI's taxonomy places the organism in Eukaryota, Metazoa, Chordata, Aves, Galliformes, Phasianidae.